ACGGUCCCGCCAAAUCGGAGUGUGAGGGUGCAGGUUAAGCUCAUGGGACAGACUUGAGUCAGUCACCGUGACAGAGAGGAAGAGCGCGAGGCCAGAAUGCUCCAGGCGGGGAACGUGCUCCGAGAGCCCGCGCCGGCUUUGACGUCAUAGGCGUGCGUCGGAGCAGGAACAUGGUCGGGCACUGACCAUGUACCAGUCGUAAGCACUGAAGAUUGGGAGGAAGACGAGCCAGGAUCUGGCCUGGGCAGCCCACAUCUGUACCAACAAACCACCUUCUACAAACGGGAAGGUGCCGGGGAAGGUGCCAUCUUUCCUGCCCCGAUACUCCUGAGGCCAUGACUGCAGGCGGAGGGUUCACUUUGGUGAAAGCCUGUCUUUAUUUCCUGUAUCACUCGUCUGUGAUCUACAGAACUGUGUCAAGGAAGCAGCUCCAGAACCUGAUGGCAGCAAUGCUGUUUGUUAUUGUUUUUGUUUAGUAUUUAUGUAUUUUGGCCAUGCCAGGUCUUAGUUGCGACACGCGGGAUCUUCCUUUGCAGUGUGUGGGAAUCUUCAGUGCGGCAUGCACGUGGGAUCAAAUUCCCCAACCAGGGGUCGAACCCGGGCCCCCUGCAUUGGGAACCUGGGAGUCUUAGCCGCUGGACCACCUGGGAAGUCUGCAGCAGUGCUCUUUCACUUAGCUUGUAAUUGUGCAAGAAGGCACUCUUGUUGUGACCUUACUCAGAAUGCAGUUUGGGGGGAAGAUCAGCUCUCGCCGUGGCCCCGGGACAUUUCCCAGUUGGUUCAGGGAACUUGGCCUCACAACGCCCUGCACACUGUGGGCCCCGGUGUAGUGUGUGCUGUCCACAGCUCGUCAGUGGCCUGAGAACCAGCCACCUUGAGCAACUCGGGCUGGGAACCGCUCAGCGCGUGGCCUCAGACUCCUCUCCCCAACGGUCUCCCUUCUCAGCCCAAUUCUGGAAGCGCGAGCAGCGUCCACACACACCGGACAGAGUUCUACUCAGAAGAUUCAGCGGUUUCAUUUCAGACUCGUCUCUCGCACCCUCUGGUGAUGCCCCAGCCUGACUGCCGCUGAGGCACCGUGACCCCCAGGACAGAAUGGGGACCGCCGGAGCUGCUCAGAUGACCUCUGAAUCCCACGCCCACAUUAGCAUUUUAAGGCUGUUCAAACACUCAGAUCUAUCACUUUCCAUGAAUGCUUUGCUAAUGAAUGUUGAUUAUAAAAAAGGCCAAACUCAUGGAGACUUGAAUGUUCCAGGGGUUACUUGUUUAUCUCCACCUGAGAUUUCAGCCUAUGGUGGUUUUAUGAGAAUGACUGCUAGAAUUGAAAUAAAUUUUGAAUAAGAUGAAAUGUAUUAUAUCUUAGUGAGUUUAUGACUUACACAAAGUACUUACCGUCAUGAAUUUCCAUGAAAGCAGUGUUUAUUAAAGCUUUUUUCUUAAUGAAAAAUAAUGCCUGAUAACCAAGUAUUAC
Molecule: non-coding RNA, 1471 nt
Organism: Delphinapterus leucas (beluga whale)
Lineage: Eukaryota; Metazoa; Chordata; Mammalia; Artiodactyla; Monodontidae
Source: RefSeq, a predicted model, not a curated record